Molecule: ribosomal RNA, 494 nt
Filed under: uncultured bacterium
Lineage: Bacteria
Description: partial 16S ribosomal RNA
Rfam family: Bacterial small subunit ribosomal RNA
Source: RNAcentral
GACGAACGCUGGCGGCGUGCUUAACACAUGCAAGUCGAACGGAAAGGCCUGCUUUCCCUUGUGGAUUGCGGGUACUCGAGUGGCGAACGGGUGAGUAACACGUGAGUGAUCUGCCCCCAACUUGGGUAUAAGCCUGGGAAACUGGGUCUAAUUCCCGAUAGGACUGCAGGGUGGUGCCUGUGGUGGAAAACGAUUUUCUAGUGGUUGGGGAUGAGCUCGCGGCCUAUCAGCUUGUUGGUGGGGUAAUGGCCUACCAAGGCGGCGACGGGUAGCCGGCCUGAGAGGGUGGACGGCCACAUUGGGACUGAGAUACGGCCCAGACUGCUACGGGAGGCAGCAGUGGGGAAUAUUGCACAAUGGGCGGAAGCCUGAUGCAGCGACGCCGCGUGGGGGAUGACGGCCUUCGGGUUGUAAACUCCUUUCGACCGCGAGGAAGCCACCUGGUUGGAAGGGUGGUGACGGUAGUGGUAGAAGAAGCACCGGCUAACUACGUG